This is a non-coding RNA of Parasteatoda tepidariorum (common house spider), 250 nucleotides long. Lineage: Eukaryota; Metazoa; Arthropoda; Arachnida; Araneae; Theridiidae. The record is from RefSeq and is a predicted model, not a curated record.
UAUAUUUAAAUAACUACGUAGACCUCAACUUUUAUUCGUUUUGUUUUAGCAAAGACCUCGGUAAGACGUGACUUCUAUGCCAAUGUCGCCAAAGGGAACUAUUGCGGAAAUGUGAGAAACAGUGGUUUUACUUCAGAUUGAAAAUACUUCAAUGUUUCUCUUUUUUUCUUCCAAGAGAGCUACGGAAGUAAGAGAGAAGAGAAAAAUAGCGUCCCAAGUGCCGAAAUCGAAAGGAGAAGAGAGAAUGAGU